GGGACACAGAGCAGAUCCCCUCUGAUAUUCGGCACUGGCAUGGAUGGUGCUAAAAGCAGAGAUGGAUCCAAGCUGAAAUGUGACUGCUGGUCGAGUUUCCACCUUAGUAGCUCCUCUACUGCUGCUGUCAUGACUGCAUUGUCCACCUGAACUGCGGGGUUGGAUGUGACCUUAUGAGCAGCAGUCUGCUGGCAGACUUGUCUGCACCAGAAUCCUGACUGUAAGUGACAUCCGUGAAUGUCUUGAAAAGGACAGCUCAAAUCUCAGGUCAUGCACGAGCAUGGAGAAGCUGAUUUCCUCUUGGUUAAGUCUUGAUUGUUCAGUGCAUAGUGGUCAGAUGGAAGACAAAACGUAGUCCAAAUAUACUGAUUUGAGAAAACA
This is a non-coding RNA of Phasianus colchicus (ring-necked pheasant), 381 nucleotides long. The record is from RefSeq and is a predicted model, not a curated record. Lineage: Eukaryota; Metazoa; Chordata; Aves; Galliformes; Phasianidae.